GCCGGGUGUGGUGGUGCACGCCUGUAGUCCCAGCUACUCAGGAGGCUGAGGCAGGAGGAUUACUUGAACCCAGGAGUUCGAGGCUGCAGUGAGCUGUGAUUGUGCCACUGCAUUCCAGCCUGGGCAACGGAGUGAGACAUUGUCUUUA
Unclassified non-coding RNA from Pongo abelii (Sumatran orangutan), 148 nucleotides. It matches the Rfam family "Metazoan signal recognition particle RNA". From Rfam's summary of the family: The signal recognition particle (SRP) is a universally conserved ribonucleoprotein. It is involved in the co-translational targeting of proteins to membranes. The record is from Ensembl. NCBI's taxonomy places the organism in Eukaryota, Metazoa, Chordata, Mammalia, Primates, Hominidae.